Molecule: RNA transcript, 1618 nt
Organism: Haliaeetus leucocephalus (bald eagle)
Lineage: Eukaryota; Metazoa; Chordata; Aves; Accipitriformes; Accipitridae
Gene: AGK
Gene name: acylglycerol kinase
Exons: 17
Source: RefSeq, a predicted model, not a curated record
GGGCGGCCGGUUUGGCCCGGGCGGCCGGGGGGCGGCAUGGCCAGGGCGGCGAAAGCGCUGACGACCCUGAGGAAUCACUGGAAGAAAACCACGUUCGGGGUCUGCCUGCUGAGCUGGGGCGGGCACUGGCUCUAUGGGAAGCACUGCGAUAACCUGCUACGAAGAGCUGCGUGCCAAGAAGCCCAGGCUUUUGGCAACCAGCUGAUCCCUUCCAGUAUGCCACUGAAGAAAGCGACAGUGUUCCUCAACCCAGCAGCUUGCAAAGGCAAAGCCAGGAACCUUUUUGAAAAGAAUGCUGCUCCAAUUUUGCACUUAUCAGGCUUGGAUGUAACUGUGGUUAAGACUGAUUAUGAGGGACAAGCAAAAAAGCUGCUGGAAUUGAUGGAAAACACGGAUCUGAUCAUUAUUGCAGGAGGAGAUGGCACAGUACAAGAGGUCAUAACUGGACUUCUCCGCAGAGCAGAUGAGGCUGUCUUCAGUAAGAUCCCUAUAGGAUUCAUACCUCUUGGGAAGACCUGCACUCUGAGCCACACGCUCUACCCUGAGAGCACGAACCAAGUCCAACAUAUUACUAAUGCUACACUGGCCAUUUUGAAGGGAGAGACAGUUCCACUUGAUGUCUUGCAGAUCAAGGGAGCAAAAGAACAGCCUGUGUUUGCAGUGACUGGUUUAAGAUGGGGAUCUUACAGAGAUGCAGGAGUUAAAGUUAGCAAGUACUGGUACCUUGGGCCUCUGAAAACCAAAGCAGCUCACUUUUUCAGUACAUUUAAGGAAUGGCCUCAGAAACGUCAAGCUGCUCUCAUGUAUCUGGGUCCAACUGAAAGACCUCCAGAAGAGCCAGAGGAGAAACCAUCCAGACCUCCUUUGUAUGUGAGGCUUUACAGACGACUUCAGUUGUACUGGUCAUCUCCUCCAAAAGAAAUCCCCCAGGAUGUAACCCCAGAGGACUGGGAAGAACUGAAGCUAUCCACCAUUGAGCUUUCCAUUGCAACUCGGAACAGGCAGCUUGAUCUGACACGCACUGAAGACUUCAUGGAUAUUUGCAUUGAAGCAGAUACAGUCAGCAAAGGACAGUUUGUAAACAGAGGAAGUCAGAAGAUGCGUGAUCCACAUACGUGCCCUGAAGGGAGUCAGUACAUCCAAGCCAGCAGAUGCAUCUUGCAACUUCCAGAGGGCACUGAGGGAUCCUUUGGCAUUGAUAAUGAGGAGUAUGAAGCUAUGCCUGUGGAGGUGAAGCUAUUACCCCGGAAACUCCGGUUCUUCUGUGAUCCCAGAAUGAGAGAACAGAUGCUCCAUGCAGCAGUACAAUGAGAAUUCAUGUCAAAGGAGCCAGUGUUUACCAGCUUUAUCAGGGCCUUUUCAAGGCACAUGAGACCUCACUGACUGGAUUAACCCCACCAGACUAAUAAGCCAUUUGGCUAUUUUAAUGUGCAAGAUCCAACAGCACAGAGUUCCAGUUAAUAAUAUAGUAGAAAUAUAUUCCUUUGAUCAAGUUUAGGUGUAUUACAGAGAACCAAAUUGGAAAAUGUCAUCAUUGACCCAAAGCUGUAUGAAGUACAUGUGGAAAGACUCUUUUAACAAGCCAAAUGAGUCUUUUUUUCCCACAGGCCUAUGGGAG